GAGAAUCUUUAAUUAUUUUUUUUAAUCCAAUUUUUUUUCCCUUUCUUGACUGGAAGGACAUGGGUUGAUACUUCUUUUUAGCUGGUUCUUUUGUUAAACUCAUAAAAUGAGGAACGGUCAGUUCGACACUCCAGCUGGUGCAGUGUUUUUAAAUGCCCAAGGCGCACUAAGGCGCAAUGGCCCUCUGAAGCCUAGGCCACACAAAAAGACGUGGGCUUUUA
This 221-nucleotide unclassified non-coding RNA is filed under the name Hevea brasiliensis (rubber tree). The record is from RNAcentral. Lineage: Eukaryota; Viridiplantae; Streptophyta; Magnoliopsida; Malpighiales; Euphorbiaceae.